GAUGAACGCUGGCGGCGUGCCUAAUACAUGCCAGUCGAGCGAACAGAUGCGGAGCUUGCUCCUCUGACGUUAGCGGCGGACGGGUGAGUAACACGUGGAUACCCUACCUAUAAGACUGGGAUAACUUCGGGAAACCGGAGCUAAUACCGGAUAAUAUAUUGAACCGCAUGGUUCAAUAGUGAAAGACGGUUUUGCUGUCACUUAUAGAUGGAUCCGCGCCGCAUUAGCUAGUUGGUAAGGUAACGGCUUACCAAGGCAACGAUGCGUAGCCGACCUGAGAGGGUGAUCGGCCACACUGGAACUGGGACACGGUCCAUACUCCUACGGGAGGCAGCAGUAGGGAAUCUGCCGCAAUGGGCGAAAGCCUGACGGAGCAACGCCGCGUGAGUGAUGAAGGUCUUCGGAUCGUAAAACUCUGUUAUUAGGGAAGAACAAAUGUGUAAUUAACUAUGCACGUCUUGACGGUACCUAAUCAGAAAGCCACGGCUAACUACGUG
This 497-nucleotide ribosomal RNA is filed under the name uncultured bacterium. RNAcentral's name for it is "partial 16S ribosomal RNA". It matches the Rfam family "Bacterial small subunit ribosomal RNA", at positions 28 to 507 of the family's 1533-position model. The record is from RNAcentral.